UCGCGACGAUACUGCUUGUCCUGACCUACCUCCCGGUUUUCCCCCGGUGCUCUUCGCUGAGUGCCUCGGGUGGCCGGAACGUUUACUUUGAAAAAAUUAGAGUGCUCAAAGCAGGCAGCCUGCCUGAAUAACCGCGCAUGGAAUAAUAGAAUAGGACCUCGGUUCUAUUUUGUUGGUUUUCGGAACUUGAGGUAAUGAUUAAGAGGGACAGACGGGGGCAUUCGUAUUACGGUGUUAGAGGUGAAAUUCUUGGAUCGCCGUAAGACGAACUACUGCGAAAGCAUUUGCCAAGAAUGUUUUCAUUAAUCAAGAACGAAAGUCAGAGGUUCGAAGACGAUCAGAUACCGUCGUAGUUCUGACCAUAAACGAUGUCGACUAGCGAUCCGCGGACGUUGUUCAUAUGACCUCGCGGGCAGCCUUCGGGAAACCAAAGUUUUUGGAUUCCGGGGGAAGUAUAGUUGCAAAGCCGAAACUUAAAGGAAUUGACGGAAGGGCACCACCAGGAGUGGAGCCUGCGGCUUAAUUUGACUCAACACGGGAAAU
Molecule: ribosomal RNA, 543 nt
Filed under: Mesenchytraeus solifugus (glacier ice worm)
Lineage: Eukaryota; Metazoa; Annelida; Clitellata; Enchytraeida; Enchytraeidae
Description: SSU rRNA
Rfam family: Eukaryotic small subunit ribosomal RNA
Source: RNAcentral